This 494-nucleotide ribosomal RNA is filed under the name uncultured bacterium. RNAcentral describes it as "partial 16S ribosomal RNA". It matches the Rfam family "Bacterial small subunit ribosomal RNA", at positions 28 to 507 of the family's 1533-position model. The record is from RNAcentral.
GACGAACGCUGGCGGCGUGCUUAACACAUGCAAGUCGAACGGAAAGGCCUGCUUUCCCUUGUGGAUUGCGGGUACUCGAGUGGCGAACGGGUGAGUAACACGUGAGUGAUCUGCCCCCAACUUGGGUAUAAGCCUGGGAAACUGGGUCUAAUUCCCGAUAGGACUGCAGGGUGGUGCCUGUGGUGGAAAACGAUUUUCUAGUGGUUGGGGAUGAGCUCGCGGCCUAUCAGCUUGUUGGUGGGGUAAUGGCCUACCAAGGCGGCGACGGGUAGCCGGCCUGAGAGGGUGGACGGGCACAGUGGGACUGAGAUACGGCCCAGACUCCGACGGGAGGCAGCAGUGGGGAAUAUGACACAAUGGGCGGAAGCCUGAUGCAGCGACGCCGCGUGGGGGAUGACGGCCUUCGGGUUGUAAACUCCUUUCGACCGCGAGGAAGCCACCUGGUUGGAAGGGUGGUGACGGUAGUGGUAGAAGAAGCACCGGCUAACUACGUG